Ribosomal RNA from Anopheles gambiae str. PEST, 123 nucleotides. NCBI's taxonomy places the organism in Eukaryota, Metazoa, Arthropoda, Insecta, Diptera, Culicidae. The record is from Rfam.
GUCAACGACCAUACCAUGUUGAAAACACCGGUUCUCGUCCGAUCACCGAAGUUAAGCAACAUCGGGCAUGGCUAGUACUUAGGUGGGUGACCACUUGGGAAAACCAUGUGUCUGUCGUUGGGA